UCUCUCUCUCUGUCUCUCCCCCCUCCCUCCCUCCCUCCCCUCCUCCCUCCUUUCCUCCUUUUCUAUCUGUCACAUUCUAUUCCUCACAAUCCCGUGUCAGCUAACCCUGUCAGUUUCCUUGUGUCAGUUUCUUCUCUUACUGGUACUGUGUGGUUGGCUGCGUGAAAGGAAUACGUGUGUUUCAAAGGGCCCAGGUUGGCUCAGAGAGCCGAGAGAAGCGAUGGAGAGGUAAAGAGUUUCUGGGCACUGACGAAGGCGGAAGGUGAGGAAGGCCAACCAGCCGAGAGGGAAGUUUGGAGAUAAUUGAGAAGAGAAGGGAGAAACCAAGGUAGGAACCAGCACUUGCGCCCCUCACUGCACCCCGCCCUUCCCUGUGUUCACGCACCCACCAUCUCAGCAACCUCAAAGCCCCUGGCUGUCCCAGGCUGCUAGUGUUUGUGCGCCAGGGGAGAAGGGACCAGAAAGGCCGCCGCACCGCGCGCCCUGGCUCAGGGACACCAGACGUCGCAGAUCUGAACAAAACGACUUGGCCAGGGGUCUUUGGAGAAGUCACAUUACCUCUCUGAACUUGGAGAAAACAGUGUUUGGAAAGCUGUCCCUCCUCUCUCACAAAGACACUGCAUAAAGAGCAGAACAGGAACAAAAGAAGGUCGAAGGUACAAACUUCCAGUUAUAAACCAAUGAGCUUCAUAAUUCCUCGUUCAUAGAAGGACCUGUCUUUAUCGGCGAAAAACUGAACAAGGUGCUGAUCUAUAGCUUCAUCUGCAAUGAACAUUAUACAACGCAAGGAGUUUUGAAGUGAGCGAAACAAGUGGAAGUCUCAUGGCACAAGAUCAGGCGAGU
Molecule: long non-coding RNA, 843 nt
Organism: Hipposideros armiger (great roundleaf bat)
Lineage: Eukaryota; Metazoa; Chordata; Mammalia; Chiroptera; Hipposideridae
Exons: 3
Source: RefSeq, a predicted model, not a curated record